UACAGAGGGUGCGAGCGUUGUUCGGAAUCAUUGGGCGUAAAGCGCUUGUAGGCGGCUUGUUAAGUCGCGUGUGAAAUCCCUUGGCUCAACCAAGGAAGUGCGCGCGAAACUGGCGAGCUCGAGUGCCGGAGAGGGUCGCGGAAUUCCCGGUGUAGAGGUGAAAUUCGUAGAUAUCGGGAGGAACACCGGUGGCGAAGGCGGCGACCUGGGUAGAUACUGACGCUGAGGUGCGAAAGCGUGGGGAGCAAACAGG
RNAcentral lists this ribosomal RNA (253 nucleotides) under uncultured bacterium. Its description in RNAcentral is "partial 16S ribosomal RNA". It matches the Rfam family "Bacterial small subunit ribosomal RNA", at positions 524 to 776 of the family's 1533-position model. The record is from RNAcentral.